UACGGAAGGCAGCAGUGAGGAAUAUUGGUCAAUGGGUGCAAGCCUGAACCAGCCAUCCCGCGUGAAGGACGACUGCCCUAUGGGUUGUAAACUUCUUUUGUAUAGGGAUAAACCUACCCUCGUGAGGGUAGCUGAAGGUACUAUACGAAUAAGCACCGGCUAACUCCGUGCCAGCAGCCGCGGUAAUACGGAGGGUGCAAGCGUUAUCCGGAUUUAUUGGGUUUAAAGGGUCCGUAGGCGGACUUAUAAGUCAGUGGUGAAAGCCUGUCGCUUAACGAUAGAACUGCCAUUGAUACUGUAAGUCUUGAGUAUAUUUUGAGGUAGCUGGAAUAAGUAGUGUAGCGGUGAAAUGCAUAGAUAUUACUUAGAACACCAAUUGCGAAAGGCAGGUUACCAAGAUAUAAACUGACGCUGAGGGACGAAAGCGUGGGGAGCGAACAGGGAUUAGAUACC
This 453-nucleotide ribosomal RNA is filed under the name uncultured bacterium. RNAcentral describes it as "bacterial SSU rRNA". It matches the Rfam family "Bacterial small subunit ribosomal RNA", at positions 340 to 786 of the family's 1533-position model. The record is from RNAcentral.